This is a non-coding RNA of Misgurnus anguillicaudatus (oriental weatherfish), 2568 nucleotides long. The record is from RefSeq and is a predicted model, not a curated record. Lineage: Eukaryota; Metazoa; Chordata; Actinopteri; Cypriniformes; Cobitidae.
AAAAUCAUUUUUUGCAUUGCAUAUACAACAUGUUUUUCAUCCAUUUCCUCCCAAGACUGCUGGUUUAAAAUGUCCAAAUCUGACUUCUGACAGAAAAACAGACCAUAAUCACUACUUUUAAUUUGCUCUUUAGGGAGCCUCUCUCUCACUCGCUCGCUCGCUCAAGGGAUUCUGGGAGUUGCCAUGACCGGACUGGAGUGAGUUCAGGGAAAGGUGCUGGGAAAGAGACAACACAAGCUGGAGAAAGUCACGUCUGUCCCUUGGACACACACUUUAAUAGAUUAGAGAGUCAAUGUAUUACUCCUACCAUGUCCAUCUGUGCUUCCAUAAUGUCCAGGAGAAGUUGUGGCAUAACAUGUGAAACAUGGCUAACCUCACAUAAGACUCUUCUCUUCUCCUCAAAGCCAGAGAAUCUGGCUUGUACAUCUGCCCACAAAUAUAUAUUGACCCAUCUCGUGCAUUUGUCCAAAACAGCAUUGAUUAGGAAAUAACUAAAAGUAGUUUAUUGCAUAACGUCAAACAGUUCUUAAAUAAUUAACAUUAGAGAUUUUAUUUUAAAGUAAAGCCAAAACGACUGAGCUAUCACAUUCAUGUCUGUUUAAUAGGUCUGUACUCUCGUAGUGUCUCAUUUGAAGGUAUUUUAGCAGGAACAUCCGAGACAUCGUCGAUGCUUGAUUGAAACAACUCCAUUGAUUCUCCAGAGCGACGAAAGACCAACCGCUGAGCAAUAAAUGUUCAUUUUCGUUUCAAAAACCCACUCACGGACUCGUCAAUCACAUCAUAUCUCUAUCAGACAGAGGAGUCGUGCUGAGAGAUCAAUAAGGCAGAUAGAUUCAGUGUGUUAUGAGCAGAUCUCCUGCAGAUGUGUGACGGGAUGUUUAAUGCUCUUUCCCCGUAAUGAAGCAGCCUCUCGCUUCGAACCGCGUGCUUGAUGUCUGCAUGCUAAAACUAACCUGGCCCAUCUGCUGUCGAGCGCUAUAAUCAGAUUGGAAAAAAACGUGCGCCGCAGAAACGCUCCAGUUUGUAAUUCCACAGCUUUUUUUGGAGCGUGCGGAGAUCAGACAUUUGCUUUCGCUGAAAGAUCCAAACACACGAGUAUUCGUCAUAUAAUGACAAGCCUUUCUGUGAUCUAGACCGUUUAUGAGAUGUGUGGGUUUAUUUUGCUCAAUCCUUCCUUGGAAGAUUUUCUCACGGUAAAAAUAAUUCAUAAAUCGAAAGCAGUAUUUUUACAAAUAUUUAAUGCAUACAAUAUUGACAGGUAACAAGGUAAACGUGUGUGAAGUGAGACACAAUGCAAAGCCUCUCUCUCAUCACAUGGUUUUAUUUCACUGUCCCUGCAUCAUCUCCCCCCUCCUUCACUGUAAUUCCCCCAGUCUCUAGGAAUGCUGUUGUUUUUAAUUUCUCCCAGCUGCUCUGGCUCUGUGCCCGACCGCCUGCCUCCUCACAUCUGCUCUCCAUCAGGCCGCUGCCAAGUCCACACAAACACAGGCCUCUCAUCAAAACAGCAGGAUUACAGCCCUCGACGGCACUUCAUGACCCGUCCAUCCGCAAUCCCUUUCCCCAGCUCUGCUCAUCGUCGCCCGAAUCAUCAAACAUCAAAACGAGGCUUGGAUCUGAGCGAGAUGGACACGAGACUGUCAUCAAACCCAAGUGGUCUUUGUAGGAGUGUUCGUAAAUAGUGUAUUAUUCUCCAACGAGUUCCUCAUCUCCAUCUGGUUAUGGGAAGCAGACGUACGAGUCUCAGUCGGUUCUCUUGGGGAAGGCGUCAUCAGCGGUCGGUGUUCUGGAAAGCCCGGCGCUUCCCCAAAAGGCGAGUGAGAAAAAACUUCCUUUUCAUAUUUCUGCUAAUAAAAUCCAGAUGUUACUAAGCUGGGCCAUACACUCUCCCUCUCGCUCUCUUUCGGCCGCUCGGCCCGGGCCAUUCCUAAAUAAAGGAAAGUAUUUGUGACAUUCAGCCGAUCCGGGACGUGCCAAGAACAACUCCCCAGCUCGGCCCAUCUGGAGUGUGUUAGGACAGCGAUGGGCACCAGGCAGGCUGCAGAUGCUAAGCUACGGCCACAGAUUCGCAAAAUCACAUGCUAUAUGUUUAGGUUCGUAUGUUAGUGCAGAACUCUGAGGGUUGCGUUGUUUAAGACCUCCACCCUUCACAUCGAGAAACACUGGGCUGUGUCCCUCCGCCCUGCUGCAAACGUGUUGCGUUUGUUUUGUUUUUUUGUUCUUUUGAGUUGCCUGCAUUAACGGUUAAGUUUGUGGUUGUGUUUACUGUGUGUCCCUGUUCUGAGCUCACACACCUGAACAUCAAUAACUGUCAUAUACACACACACACUGAGCUCGAACACCUGGGGACCAGGAGCACCGCAGGCAUACAGCCGUCACCAACACAUCUGUCAGCUAAAGAGAGAACAACAGGGGAAAGCUAGGACGCCCAAGAAAAAGAAAAGACUAAAGAAGGAAGGGAGAAAAAGACUGUAUGCAUUUAUAUUGUGUUUUCUGCACGAUGCAUAAAUCUGUCUGUUUAUCUGUCUACAGGUAUCUAUCUAUUGUGUCUGCCUGUCUGUCUAUCCUCUC